Non-coding RNA from Corylus avellana, 474 nucleotides. The record is from RefSeq and is a predicted model, not a curated record. NCBI's taxonomy places the organism in Eukaryota, Viridiplantae, Streptophyta, Magnoliopsida, Fagales, Betulaceae.
UACAGCGGACCGUUUCACUCUCUCUCUCCCCCCCCUCUCUCUCUCCGGCUUCUCUUCACAUAUCUUCCUCUGGAUCUGCAAAUGCGCACCGUUUUGAUCGCGCCAAUCGGUUUCCUCUCCCUGUCGAUUCUCUGCGUUUUGCAUUCUAAAGCUCAGUUCUCAGCUUGUGGGUUUGUCGUGCGCGAAGGUAGGCACUGCCUCUUCUUAGCUAGAAUAUAAUGAUUUGGAGAACAUAUUGUGGAAAGAGUUGCUGUCGAGUGGGAAUUGGGGUAUGCAGCUUUACCUAUUUGUCAAAUAGCUAUGGAAGGUGACAGGACAAUCUCUACUACCCAAGAUGGGUUCGGGGAUGGUGGUCAGAAAAUGCGAGCUCUACAUGGGAGGACUAGUGGUCCGACAAGGCGUUCUACCAAAGGACAAUGGACACUUGAAGAGGAUGAGAUUUUGCGGAAGGCUGUUCAGAGCUUUAAAGGAAAG